RNAcentral lists this transfer RNA (75 nucleotides) under Sphaerodactylus townsendi. Its description in RNAcentral is "tRNA-Ala". It matches the Rfam family "tRNA". From Rfam's summary of the family: Transfer RNA (tRNA) molecules are approximately 80 nucleotides in length. Their secondary structure includes four short double-helical elements and three loops (D, anti-codon, and T loops). The record is from RNAcentral. Lineage: Eukaryota; Metazoa; Chordata; Lepidosauria; Squamata; Sphaerodactylidae.
GGAGUGGCUAUAGCUCAGAAGCAGAGCCUCUGCUUUGCAUAUAGAAGUUUCCAGGUUCAAUACCUGGCAUCUCCA